GUUAUCAUUCUAUAGUCAACUUUGCAAAUGGCAUUAUUGUUCUCUAAACCAAUAAGGUUUUAUUUUUUAAAAAUCAAUGGAAAUUGGCAACUGUGGUGGGAGAUUUGAAUGGCAUUUCUGCUGUUUCCAUUGGGAAAAUGGCUGAAUGACUUCUUAUCUCUCUUUGGUGGAUUACCGGACUUGAUAUAUUUAUUAAAGGCCAUUGAAUUGUUGUUUCAGGGAUGGAUUUUGACCCAAUGGAAUAUCCACACUGAAGAAGAGAUGAAUGUGGCGGCUUCCAUGAGUGUCCCUUGCCUUGACCAGAGCUCGGAGUGCAACCUGAAGAUCUGUCGAGGGUAGAAGGGGAUCAUCUUCUCAGAGAUACAGUCUUUCUCAGUCCUGGGAUGUGUUUAUUUCUAAGAAAUAGAUUCAACUGAGAAAUAAAAAUGUUUAACA
RNAcentral lists this long non-coding RNA (435 nucleotides) under Ictidomys tridecemlineatus (thirteen-lined ground squirrel). RNAcentral's name for it is "lncRNA (ENSSTOG00000031652.1)". Lineage: Eukaryota; Metazoa; Chordata; Mammalia; Rodentia; Sciuridae. The record is from RNAcentral.